This 253-nucleotide ribosomal RNA is filed under the name uncultured bacterium. Its description in RNAcentral is "partial 16S ribosomal RNA". It matches the Rfam family "Bacterial small subunit ribosomal RNA", at positions 524 to 776 of the family's 1533-position model. The record is from RNAcentral.
UACGAAGGGGGCUAGCGUUGCUCGGAAUCACUGGGCGUAAAGCGCACGUAGGCGGCUUUUUAAGUCAGGGGUGAAAUCCUGGAGCUCAACUCCAGAACUGCCUUUGAUACUGAGAAGCUUGAGUCCGGGAGAGGUGAGUGGAACUGCGAGUGUAGAGGUGAAAUUCGUAGAUAUUCGCAAGAACACCAGUGGCGAAGGCGGCUCUCUGGACCGUAACUGACGCUGAGGCGCGAAAGCGUGGGGAGCAAACAGG